Molecule: ribosomal RNA, 497 nt
Filed under: uncultured bacterium
Lineage: Bacteria
Description: partial 16S ribosomal RNA
Rfam family: Bacterial small subunit ribosomal RNA
Source: RNAcentral
GAUGAACGCUGGCGGCGUGCCUAAUACAUGCAAGUAGAACGCUGAAGCUUGGUGCUUGCACCGAGCGGAUGAGUUGCGAACGGGUGAGUAACGCGUAGGUAACCUGCCUCUUAGCGGGGGAUAACUAUUGGAAACGAUAGCUAAUACCGCAUAAAAGUCGACAUCGCAUGAUGUUGACUUGAAAGGUGCAAUUGCAUCACUAAGAGAUGGACCUGCGUUGUAUUAGCUAGUUGGUGAGGUAACGGCUCACCAAGGCGACGAUACAUAGCCGACCUGAGAGGGUGAUCGGCCACACUGGGACUGAGACACGGCCCAGACUCCUACGGGAGGCAGCAGUAGGGAAUCUUCGGCAAUAGGGGCAACCCUGACCGAGCAACGCCGCGUGAGUGAAGAAGGGUUUCGGAUCGUAAAGCUCUGUUGUAAGAGAAGAACGAGUGUGAGAGUGGAAAGUUCACACUGUGACGGUAACUUACCAGAAAGGGACGGCUAACUACGUG